This 349-nucleotide ribosomal RNA is filed under the name uncultured fungus. RNAcentral describes it as "SSU rRNA". It matches the Rfam family "Eukaryotic small subunit ribosomal RNA", at positions 1326 to 1698 of the family's 1831-position model. The record is from RNAcentral. Lineage: Eukaryota; Fungi.
CGAUAACGAACGAGACCUUCAUCGUUAACUAGCCCGGCUCGCCUUGGCGGGUCGCCGGCUUCUUAGCGAGACUUUUGGCUUAAGCCAAAGGAAGUUGGAGGCAAUAACAGGUCUGUGAUGCCCUUAGAUGUUCUGGGCUGCACGCGCGCUACACUGACAGAGGCAACGAGUUUUUUUCCUUGGCCGGAAGGUCUGGGUAAUCUUGGUAAACUCUGUCGUGCUGGGGAUAGAGCAUUGCAAUUAUUGCUCUUCAACGAGGAAUGCCUAGUAAGCGCGUGUCAUCAGCAUGCGUUGAUUACGUCCCUGCCCUUUGUACACACCGCCCGUCGCUACUACCGAUUGAAUGGCU